AUCGAAAUUUUAAAACUUUCAAUGAUCAUUGGCUGUGUUUCAAACUUUCUUAUCUAUAUAGUCAUUAGUGAAAAACUCAGAUAUACUUUGAAAAAGAUGUUAUAAUACAGAGAACAUUAGGAAAUACAUGAGGUAACAUUUGAGAUGCAAAUUAAAAGAUGAAUUUAAAACAAGAAGAAUUAAAAAGAGGAUAGCGGACAUAUAAUGUUAUUUUAUUUUUGUCAGAGAAAUGCUGAAGCAUGAUGUGUUUAACGUGAGGGUACCCAAAUUGCACCUUUUUGACAAUUUGUUCACCGAAGUGUAUUUAUGAUCCAAACAAAAAGUUUCCAUUCUGUGUUUAUUUUGUCGAUGUAUUCUUAGUUACUAUAUGGUCCCACCAAUUUAAUUUUGAAUCCAUAUUGAAACAUACCUCCAAACUGUCCAUGAUUCUAUAAUGAGGAGUACCCAAAUUGCAUCCAUGCAUAAAUUCACAUCCUUAUAAAUCGAUUAACAGAUGGUUUGUUUAUUUCUUCAAAUAUUUAGAAC
RNAcentral lists this long non-coding RNA (525 nucleotides) under Mytilus galloprovincialis (Mediterranean mussel). Lineage: Eukaryota; Metazoa; Mollusca; Bivalvia; Mytilida; Mytilidae. The record is from RNAcentral.